GAUGAACGCUGGCGGCGUGCCUAAUACAUGCAAGUCGAGCGAACAGACGAGGAGCUUGCUCCUCUGACGUUAGCGGCGGACGGGUGAGUAACACGUGGAUAACCUACCUAUAAGACUGGGAUAACUUCGGGAAACCGGAGCUAAUACCGGAUAAUAUAUUGAACCGCAUGGUUCAAUAGUGAAAGACGGUUUUGCUGUCACUUAUAGAUGGAUCCGCGCCGCAUUAGCUAGUUGGUAAGGUAACGGCUUACCAAGGCAACGAUGCGUAGCCGACCUGAGAGGUGGAUCGGCCACCCGGGAACUGAGACACGUUCCAGACGCCGACGGGAGGCAGCAGGAGGGAAUCCUCCGCAAUGGGCGAAAGCUUGACGGAGCAACGCCGCGUGAGUGAUGAAGGUCUGCGGAUCGUAAAACUCUGUUAUUAGGGAAGAACAAAUGUGUAAGUAACGAUGCACGUCUUGACGGUACCUAAUCAGAAAGCCACGGCGAACUACGU
RNAcentral lists this ribosomal RNA (496 nucleotides) under uncultured bacterium. Its description in RNAcentral is "partial 16S ribosomal RNA". It matches the Rfam family "Bacterial small subunit ribosomal RNA", at positions 28 to 506 of the family's 1533-position model. The record is from RNAcentral.